Molecule: small nucleolar RNA, 86 nt
Organism: Dipodomys ordii (Ord's kangaroo rat)
Lineage: Eukaryota; Metazoa; Chordata; Mammalia; Rodentia; Heteromyidae
Source: Ensembl
AGCAAGUGAUGUCUUUUCUAAUGAUCAUCUGUGGAUGAAACUAUGGGCAGUACCAAUGAUGCCAAAGGCUCAGCAGAUACCAGGAA